This 491-nucleotide ribosomal RNA is filed under the name uncultured bacterium. RNAcentral describes it as "partial 16S ribosomal RNA". It matches the Rfam family "Bacterial small subunit ribosomal RNA", at positions 29 to 506 of the family's 1533-position model. The record is from RNAcentral.
AGUGAACGCUGGCGGUAGGCCUAACACGUGCAAGUCGAACGGCAGCACAGUAAGAGCUUGCUCUUACGGGUGGCGAGUGGCGGACGGGUGAGGAAUACAUCGGAAUCUACUUUUUCGUGGGGGAUAACGUAGGGAAACUUACGCUAAUGCCGCAUACGACCUACGGGUGAAAGCAGGGGAUCUUCGGACCUUGCGCGAUUGAAUGAGCCGAUGUCGGAUUAGCUAGUUGGCGGGGUAAAGGCCCACCAAGGCGACGAUCCGUAGCUGGUCUGAGAGGAUGAUCAGCCACACUGGAACUGAGACACGGUCCAGACUCCUACGGGAGGCAGCAGUGGGGAAUAUUGGACAAUGGGCGCAAGCCUGAUCCAGCCAUACCGCGUGGGUGAAGAAGGCCUUCGGGUUGUAAAGCCCUUUUGUUGGGAAAGAAAAGCAGCAGGUUAAUACCCCGCUGUUCUGACGGUACCCAAAGAAUAAGCACCGGCUAACUUCGU